Conger conger (European conger) is the source of this 1699-nucleotide non-coding RNA. The record is from the annotation of a RefSeq genome assembly. Lineage: Eukaryota; Metazoa; Chordata; Actinopteri; Anguilliformes; Congridae.
AUGACUGUUAUAACCAGCCUGCUUCUCAUUACAGUGAUCAUUACAAGUGUUGAAUGUCAGACACUGACUGAGUCUGAACCAGCAGUUAAAAAGCCUGGAGAAUCCCACAAACUGACCUGUACAGCCUCUGGGUUCUCAUUCAGCAGCUUAUAUCUGAACUGGAUCAGACAGACUCCUGGGAAGGCACUGGAGUGGGUUGCCUAUAUUAACCCUAGCAGUGGCACCAGCUAUUCCCAGUCUGUUCAGGGAAGAUUCACCAUCUCCAGAGACGACUCCAACAACAAGCUGUAUUUACAGAUGAACAGCCUGACAGCUGAAGACACUGCUGUGUAUUACUGUGCCAGACACCCACACUUGACUGGUAACCGUGACACCGACUACUUCGACUACUGGGGAAGAGGCACAAAAGUCACAGUUACCUCAGGUGUUCAACAAGCUCCAAGUGUCUUCCCUUUGCUUAGUUGUGGCUCUCCAGUAGAUGGCUACGUCACAGUGGCUUGCAUGGCUAAAGAUUUCUUGCCUGACGAUUUGACCUUCACAUGGAGUCAGGGAGGAAAUGUUCUGACGGACGGCUUCCUUCAGUAUCCAUCUGUACGGAACAACGAUACAUUCACCGCUGUCAGCCACCUGAAAGUGAAACAAUCCGACUGGGACAGUCAGAAGGCCUACCAAUGUUCCGCAGCAGUUUCGGUUGGUACCGCCGAGAAAGCAAGACUCGUCCUUCCUAAAGUCGUAAUCAACUCCGCCACUCUUUAUCUAAUGAUCCCGACUGAGGACCAGCUAAAUGACAACAAGACCGCUUCCUUUGCCUGCUUUGCCAGUGAAUUUUCUCCCAAGGAACUCACUUUUACAUGGCGCAGGAAUGGCAAGGUGUUGACUGAUGGCAUCACAACCCUGCCCGUGGUGGAAAUUAGCGGAAAUUACAGCGUGUCCAGCUUUCUGCAUCUUUCUGAAAAGCAGUGGAAAUCUGACGACGUCGUCUCCUGUGCAAUUACCCACAAAGGCGGAAACUUUGUGAGGACGGCCACUUACAGCAAUCCCUCUGGCAAUUGUGAAGGAAUUCCCAUUCAGGUGACAAUCCCCGAACCAUCCACCACGGAGCUGUUCCUGCAUGGCCGGGUGGAGCUGAGAUGCCAAAUCACCGGGGAUUUGGGAGGCAUCAUCAAUGUUGAGUGGCGAAACGGAGAUGGCACGGCCCUCAUGUCCACCACCGAAAAUGUGGGAAAAUCCCGAAUCGCAACGCUCUAUGUCAAGUACGACGACUGGGCCAAUGGAACAGAGUACACAUGCAUAGUGAUGCACGAAUAUUCCAUAACUCCAAUUUCCACGCCCUACUAUCGAGAUAACGAAGACUGCUACUCCAUUGACGUGGAGGACGACUCCGGCGCAGCCGACAUUGCCAUUGCCUUCAUCUUCCUCUUCCUCAUCUCUCUGUUCUACAGCAUCGGAGCUACUGCCAUCAAGGUGAAAUGAGAGACACACUAGAAGAAACCUGGUUCUGUGCUUAUGUGUGUGUGUGUGUUCUGCUAGUGCAAAUAUCUCUUAUCGACACAAGCAUAAUUUUCUACUGAAACAGUCCUCUGUGUUUGUAAAUGACAAUAUAAUAUGAUAUCCUGUGAUGUUACUCUGUACAUAUUUCACUGUAACUCCAAAUAUUUCAAAUAAAACAUGUCGCUUGCCUGUCUUUGAAAAAGACAAA